This 576-nucleotide ribosomal RNA is filed under the name uncultured bacterium. RNAcentral describes it as "bacterial SSU rRNA". It matches the Rfam family "Bacterial small subunit ribosomal RNA", at positions 74 to 648 of the family's 1533-position model. The record is from RNAcentral.
GCUUGCUCUCGGGUGACGAGCGGCGGACGGGUGAGUAAUGUCUGGGAAACUGCCUGAUGGAGGGGGAUAACUACUGGAAACGGUAGCUAAUACCGCAUAACGUCGCAAGACCAAAGUGGGGGACCUUCGGGCCUCAUGCCAUCAGAUGUGCCCAGAUGGGAUUAGCUAGUAAGUGGGGUAAUGGCUCACCUAAGCCAACAUUCCUAACUGGUCUGAAAAGAAGAACCGCCCCCCUGGAACUUAAAAACGGGUCAGAACUCCUACGGGAGGCAGCAGUGGGAAAUAUUGCACAAUGGGCGCAAGCCUGAUGCAGCCAUGCCGCGUGUAUGAAGAAGGCCUUCGGGUUGUAAAGUACUUUCAGCGAGGAGGAAGGCAUUAAGGUUAAUAACCUUAGUGAUUGACGUUACUCGCAGAAGAAGCACCGGCUAACUCCGUGCCAGCAGCCGCGGUAAUACGGAGGGUGCAAGCGUUAAUCGGAAUUACUGGGCGUAAAGCGCACGCAGGCGGUCUGUUAAGUCAGAUGUGAAAUCCCCGGGCUCAACCUGGGAACUGCAUUUGAAACUGGCGGCUUGAUCU